GGCGAACGCUGGCGGCGUGCUUAACACAUGCAAGUCGAACGGAAAGGCCCUGCUUUUGUGGGGUGCUCGAGUGGCGAACGGGUGAGUAACACGUGAGUAACCUGCCCUUGACUUUGGGAUAACUUCAGGAAACUGGGGCUAAUACCGGAUAGGAGCUCCUGCUGCAUGGUGGGGGUUGGAAAGUUUCGGCGGUUGGGGAUGGACUCGCGGCUUAUCAGCUUGUUGGUGGGGUAGUGGCUUACCAAGGCUUUGACGGGUAGCCGGCCUGAGAGGGUGACCGGCCACAUUGGGACGGAGAUACGGCCCAGACUCCUACGGGAGGCAGCAGUGGGGAAUAUUGCACAAUGGGCGGAAGCCUGAUGCAGCAACGCCGCGUGCGGGAUGACGGCCUUCGGGUUGUAAACCGCUUUCGCCUGUGACGAAGCGUGAGUGACGGUAAUGGGUAAAGAAGCACCGGCUAACUACGUG
This 468-nucleotide ribosomal RNA is filed under the name uncultured bacterium. Its description in RNAcentral is "partial 16S ribosomal RNA". It matches the Rfam family "Bacterial small subunit ribosomal RNA", at positions 28 to 507 of the family's 1533-position model. The record is from RNAcentral.